GCCUGGGUGGCUCAGUCGGUUAAGCAACAGACUUCGGCUCAGGUCUUGAUCUCACAGUUCGUGGGUUCGAGCCCCACAUCAGGCU
RNAcentral lists this transfer RNA (85 nucleotides) under Felis catus (domestic cat). It matches the Rfam family "tRNA". Rfam says of the family: Transfer RNA (tRNA) molecules are approximately 80 nucleotides in length. Their secondary structure includes four short double-helical elements and three loops (D, anti-codon, and T loops). Further hydrogen bonds mediate the characteristic L-shaped molecular structure. tRNAs have two regions of fundamental functional importance: the anti-codon, which is responsible for specific mRNA codon recognition, and the 3' end, to which the tRNAs corresponding amino acid is attached (by aminoacyl-tRNA synthetases). tRNAs cope with the degeneracy of the genetic code in two manners: having more than one tRNA (with a specific anti-codon) for a particular amino acid; and 'wobble' base-pairing, i.e. permitting non-standard base-pairing at the 3rd anti-codon position. RNAcentral also lists the same sequence under 2 other names. The record is from Rfam by way of RNAcentral. Lineage: Eukaryota; Metazoa; Chordata; Mammalia; Carnivora; Felidae.